This 492-nucleotide ribosomal RNA is filed under the name uncultured bacterium. Its description in RNAcentral is "partial 16S ribosomal RNA". It matches the Rfam family "Bacterial small subunit ribosomal RNA", at positions 29 to 507 of the family's 1533-position model. The record is from RNAcentral.
AGUGAACGCUGGCGGUAGGCCUAACACAUGCAAGUCGAACGGCAGCACAGUAAGAGCUUGCUCUUACGGGUGGCGAGUGGCGGACGGGUGAGGAAUACAUCGGAAUCUACUUUUUCGUGGGGGAUAACGUAGGGAAACUUACGCUAAUACCGCAUACGACCUACGGGUGAAAGCAGGGGAUCUUCGGACCUUGCGCGAUUGAAUGAGCCGAUGUCGGAUUAGCUAGUUGGCGGGGUAAAGGCCCACCAAGGCGACGAUCCGUAGCUGGUCUGAGAGGAUGAUCAGCCACACUGGAGCUUAGACACCGUCCAGACUCCUACGGGAGGCAGCAGUGGGGAAUAUUGGACAAUGGGCGCAAGCCUUAUCCAGCCAUACCGCGUGGGUGAAGAAGGCCUUCGGGUUGUAAAGCCCUUUUGUUGGGAAAGAAAAGCAGCAGGUUAAUACCCCGCUGUUCUGACGGUACCCAAAGAAUAAGCACCGGCUAACUUCGUG